GAUGAACGCUGGCGGCGUGCCUAACACAUGCAAGUCGAACGGAGUCCAGCCUUUAAGUCCUUCUGGUCAAUGGGGGGUAGCCUGCGUGGCGGACGGGUGAGUAACACGUGGGCAACCUGGCUCAUAGAGGGGGAUAACAGAGAGAAAUUUCUGCUAAUACCGCAUAAGCACACACUGCCGCAUUGCAGAGGGUGACAAGAGAAUCGGUAUGAGAUGGACCCGCUUCUGAUUAGCCAGGUGGCAGGGUAAGAGCCUACCCAAGCGACGAUCAGUAGCCGAGCAGAGAGGAUGAACGGCCACAUUGGGACUGAGACACGGCCCAAACUCCUACGGGAGGCAGCAGUGGGGGAUAUUGCACAAUGGGGGGAACCCUGAUGCAGCGACGCCGCGUGAGUGAAGAAGUAUUUGGGUAUGUAAAGCUCUAUCAGCAGGGCAGAUAAUGACAGUACCUGAAUAAGAAGCCACGGCUAACUACGUG
This 478-nucleotide ribosomal RNA is filed under the name uncultured bacterium. RNAcentral's name for it is "partial 16S ribosomal RNA". It matches the Rfam family "Bacterial small subunit ribosomal RNA", at positions 28 to 507 of the family's 1533-position model. The record is from RNAcentral.